AACGCGAAGAACCUUACCUACCCUUGACAUCCUGCGAACCUUGUAGAGAUAUGAGGGUGCCGAAAGGAGCGCAGAGACAGGUGCUGCAUGGCUGUCGUCAGCUCGUGUCGUGAGAUGUUGGGUUAAGUCCCGUAACGAGCGCAACCCUUGUCCUUAGUUGCCAGCACGUAAAGGUGGGAACUCUAAGGAGACUGCCGGUGAUAAACCGGAGGAAGGUGGGGAUGAGGUCAAGUCAUCAUGGCCUUUAUGGGUAGGGCAACACACGUGCUACAAUGGUUGUUACAAAGGGAAGCGAAGUCGUGAGGCGGAGCAAAUCUCAGAAAGGCAAUCGUAGUCCGGAUUGGAGUCUGCAACUCGACUCCAUGAAGUUGGAAUCGCUAGUAAUCGCGGAUCAGAACGCCGCGGUGAAUACGUUCCCGGGCCUUGUACACACCGCGAGC
Molecule: ribosomal RNA, 440 nt
Filed under: uncultured bacterium
Lineage: Bacteria
Description: bacterial SSU rRNA
Rfam family: Bacterial small subunit ribosomal RNA
Source: RNAcentral